GCGAGUGAAGCGGCAAAAGCUCAAAUUUGAAAUCUGGCACCUUCGGUGUCCGAGUUGUAAUUUGAAGAAGCUACUUUGGGGCUAGUCCUUGUCUAUGUUCCUUGGAACAGGACGUCAUGGAGGGUGAGAAUCCCGUAUGGCGAGGAGUCUAGUCCUAUGUAAAGUGCUUUCGACGAGUCGAGUUGUUUGGGAAUGCAGCUCUAAGUGGGUGGUAAAUUCCAUCUAAAGCUAAAUAUUGGCGAGAGACCGAUAGCGAACAAGUACAGUGAUGGAAAGAUGAAAAGAACUUUGAAAAGAGAGUGAAAAAGUACGUGAAAUUGUUGAAAGGGAAGGGCAUUUGAUCAGACAUGGUGUUUUGCGACCCUCGCUCCUUGUGGGUGGGGAUCUCGCAGCUCACUGGGCCAACAUCAGUUUUGGCGGUAGGAUAAAUCUUUGGGAAUGUGGCUUGUCUUCGGAGAAGCGUUAUAGCCCAGGGGAAUACUACCAGCCGGGACUGAGGACUGCGACUUUUGUCAAGGAUGUUGGCAUAAUGGUUAAAUGCCGCCC
This 546-nucleotide ribosomal RNA is filed under the name Lachancea quebecensis. RNAcentral's name for it is "eukaryotic LSU rRNA". It matches the Rfam family "Eukaryotic large subunit ribosomal RNA", at positions 89 to 650 of the family's 3401-position model. The record is from RNAcentral. Lineage: Eukaryota; Fungi; Ascomycota; Saccharomycetes; Saccharomycetales; Saccharomycetaceae.